GUUCACCGUUAGGGCUUCCUGUCGACGGAAAUCAUUAGGGCAGAGCGAUAGAGCAGACCUCCACCCCUUCCGCCCUUCGGAUGCGAGAUCUAGUGCCAGAAACACUACAUGCCAACGCAUUCUGUGACUGUCCGGGCCUGUACUUGCGUCGAAGAUGUAUUCCUUUACACCAACCUUGGUUGCCGUCCUGACUCUGGUGGUUACGGCAUCUGCCGUCUGCCCCAGGUAUCCCGUUGACUUUGGUGGCUGCGACAAGGCCCUGUACAACUGCACACAGUCUAUGUGCGAUCGCCGUGGCCUCGACUGCUGUGACACCGUCUGUGGCACCAAACGAUGCGUACUUGGUGAACUACAAGUCCAGGCCGUGCCCGAGUACGCAGCACGCAGUCCGUACGAGGGCGAGCGUUGGUGCCACGAGUGCUCCGUCAGGUGUCGAAGCUGUAUCGAUUACUGCAAAAAUGUAAAGAAGUUCGACCCCUACACGUCAAUGUGGUGCGACCGCUGCUGGGAGGUCUGCAGGACAUGCACGUCCCGUUGUGCCCUUUAAACCAAGUAUUGUUGCUUCAGCUUUGGCGCUUGGUUUCCGUUUGAAUGCUUUCUACUUCCAAGUCUAAAGUACAAUAAAUAUUCGUUUCGGUAACGGA
Molecule: long non-coding RNA, 644 nt
Organism: Ornithodoros turicata
Lineage: Eukaryota; Metazoa; Arthropoda; Arachnida; Ixodida; Argasidae
Exons: 2
Source: RefSeq, a predicted model, not a curated record